UCUAAUAUGGCAGAAUAGUGCAAUGAAUUUAAGCUUCAUAUAUAAAGCUCAUAAACUUUUUUUAGAA
This 67-nucleotide transfer RNA is filed under the name Acrossus luridus. RNAcentral describes it as "Aphodius luridus tRNA-Leu". The record is from RNAcentral. Lineage: Eukaryota; Metazoa; Arthropoda; Insecta; Coleoptera; Scarabaeidae.